CUGAGGUGGUGGGAGACCUAUCAGUUGGGUCUUUCCCUGGUUUUGGAAUCAAAGUAACACUUUCUUCCAGGAAUGAAUUUGGAAGUAUUCCUUCCCUUUCAAUUUCAUUGAAGAGUUUAGAGUAGUGGCAAUAGUUCUUCUCUAAGUGUCUUAUAGAAUUGAGGCCAUCAGGACACAGGCUUUUCUUUGUUGGGAAUGUUGUGCCCAGAUUGUGAGGUCCCAGAGACCACCAGGAGGCCGUUUCCGAUGCCAGCAUGGUGGGCCGUGGCUAAUGCCUGUAAUUCCAGCACUCAAAAGGCUGACCCAGGAGGACUGCUGUGAGUUCAAGGCCAGGCUGGGCUACAUAACGAGACCCUAUCUCACCCCACCCCCUUCAUUUUCCCUUCUCCUCAUGUAAGGGGUGAGUCCUUGUUCACAUAAAUAUGGGAAUGGAAAGGCUUCCACUCUAUCAAUGAUGCUCACUUUCCCAAGCUCCUUCUGAAUUAAAUGUCAAGAAUCACACUGUGAGCUAUCGUUACAAUUAUUUUUAAUGAUAUUUAAACUGAGAACUCAAUUAGAUUAUCCUACAAUUUCAUUGACAACCAAGAAUUAGAAACCACCUGAGUUGCUAAAGGCUUAUUACUUAAUCUGUAGUCAUUCAUAUUCCAAAACAAUAUUUCAAAUUGUACUUGUUGUUUGGCAACUCAGAUGUUUUUACAGUUUUUCACCUUGGGAGAACAGGACAAUGCUAAAGAUGAGGAGAGACAUGAGAAUCUGCAAAGGAGUUCUCGGGGAAUUAGUUUAAACAAAGGAUACAUAGAAUUAGAGAAUGUGAGGGCCAAGAAUUUAGCUCAGUGGCACUGUGCCUGCCUCACAAGUGCAAGGUCCUGAGUUCGAGCCCUGGUACCAAAAAAACAAUAGAGAAUGUGAAAAUGGGUAUUUUCCAUCUGGUGUGGUGGUGAAUGCCUUAAUCUCAGCACUAGGGAGGCUGAGGCAGGAGGAUCACUGGGAAUUAGAGGCCAGCCGGGAUUACAUAGCAAGACUGUGUCUCUAAUAAUAAUAAUAACAAUAAAAAAUAAAUAUAGAUAGAGGAAAAGAGGGUCUGAGACCAGUAUUUACUAUCAGGCUAAAAGAAGGCAGAGGUUUCUAAGAAUAAGCAGAGAAGUGGGAGAAGUAUCAGAAGAGUAUUGAGUUAUAGAAGCCAAGGGACAAGUGUCUCAAGAGGCUGAGAUGCCUAUGUUAGCUGUUGCUCGGAAAGGAGAGGAGGCCUAAUGACAUGGUGUGGUGGUCACCAAGGAAUUUUCCGAAUUGGGCAGUGGAGUGGGGUGGGCACAGCCACAGAAACAACUCUUCUGCAAAACAUCUGGCUGAGAGAAGGAAGGCAAUAGGGAUGUUCCUUAUCUCUGCCUUUUGUUUUCUUUCUUUUAGAGAAAGAAAAGUAGCCCAGGCUGACCUUGAACUCAUUAUGUAGAUGUAGUCCAGCUGGCCUCAGACUUGCAGUGAUCCUCCUGCCUCUGCUUCCUGAGGGCUGUGAUUACAGCCAUGUGAGCCCAGGGCCAGCAGCAGCAGGGUGUUCAGUGCAUCACUUGUCAGGAGGGUUGUUUCCUGCCAGGUACCAGACAGCUCACUGGGUCCUCCUGCUCUCUAAUGUGUCUGCCCUGGAAGGACCUGCACGUGUUGGACAAGAGAAAAGAGAUAACAGCAAAAAAAGGACUGGGAGUGUGAGGCCUGAGUGACUCCAUUUUAAAAUUUGGCCCCAUCUUAGAGUAAGGUGGCCUGGACAUAAACUCUAGUUCCAAGAAAAACCACAAGAUGCACUUUGGCCACCUGCCUGUGAUAAUGUUGAGCAGUACCCUAGCAACUAGCCUAGCAACAGCUAAUCAGUGGCUGCCUCAAUGUCCCAGAUGCUCUUCUCGAUGGCCUGCAACAGCUAAUCAGUAGUUACCCCAAUACCCCAGUAUCCCAAAUGUUCUUUUCAAUGACUUGAGCAGCCGUUUGCAGUUCAGCCCACAAGGCACAGCCAAUCAGGCUUAAACUUUCAAAAUUUGCUAAAUGCUAGCCAAUCGUGUGAUUUGCGUGUGAUUUGAAACCCUGUGCCUUUUUGAAACCCCACGCCUUGCCGUAACCUCUAUAAAAACCCCUGGUGUUUUAGAGUCGGGGCUCUCAACCCUGACCCGCUGCAUCGGUGUUGGAUGAGAGUCCCUGCUCGAGCUUGAAUAAAUGACCCUCAUGUGUUUGCAUCGGAAUCAGCUCCUUGGCUGUCUUUGGGGACCUCGAGAUCUGGGCACAACAGGAGGAACAGAGAGGACAGUAAACUGGCUUAUAGGUAAGAUAGAAGUGUGAAGAGGAACAGGAUGGGUGUUACCAAGGAGGAGAAGCUAGGUGAGAAAUCAAAAUUUAAGCCCUUUUUUUCAGUACUGGGGGUUGAAUACAGGACUGCUCACUGAGCUACACUCCUGGCCCUUUUCAUUUUUAUUUUCUGACACACUAAGUUGUCUGUUUCGCUAAAUUGCCCUGACUGGCCUCAAACUAAAGAUCCUGCUGGGCGUGGUGGUGCACACCUGUCAUCUCAGCACAUGGGAGGCUGGGGCAGGAGGAUCUCCAGGAGUUUGAGGCCAACCUGGGCUACAUAGGAGUUCAAGACCAGCCUGAACUGCAUAGUCAGACCCUCUCUUGAAAAAAACAAACAAAUAAAAGUUGUGGCGUGCAGAAUAUGAAGAAGAAUCCAGCUGGCAUAGGUAACUCCUCGGCAGGCUGGCUCAGCCACUGUUGGCACCAGUAACCCUGAAAGCCCAGCAUCUCUUGCAG
This 2787-nucleotide long non-coding RNA is filed under the name Heterocephalus glaber (naked mole-rat). RNAcentral's name for it is "lncRNA (ENSHGLG00100033785.1)". The record is from RNAcentral. Lineage: Eukaryota; Metazoa; Chordata; Mammalia; Rodentia; Bathyergidae.